GCUGGGGUAGUUCAAAGGCAGAACAUUUGCCUGGUAUGCAUGAGAGCCUGGGGGUCAUUCCCCAGUA
This 67-nucleotide transfer RNA is filed under the name Neotoma lepida (desert woodrat). It matches the Rfam family "tRNA". From Rfam's summary of the family: Transfer RNA (tRNA) molecules are approximately 80 nucleotides in length. Their secondary structure includes four short double-helical elements and three loops (D, anti-codon, and T loops). The record is from Rfam by way of RNAcentral. Lineage: Eukaryota; Metazoa; Chordata; Mammalia; Rodentia; Cricetidae.